UGGGCACCUGCAGCAGCAAGAGCUCAGGAAYGAGGCCGAAGCAGGAGGCGGUGACGCCUGUGAAGCUGGGGGACCUGCUUGGCCACGUGUUUCCUUAGAUCCCAUUGGGGCUUUGCAGGAGGGACAAGCYGCAACCGGGAUGAUCCGGCUGCGGAGCGGGAUGUGGCUGCUGCUGUGAGCGCCGCCGCAUCCCCACGAGCGGGCGCACAGUCCCCUCUAGCGGAGGCUUCUCCASUGUCGGUGUUGGCUGCACGGGGACCGAGGACCGUGACGGCCGGGUGCCAUCCGUGUGGGAAGGGGAUGUGAUGGCCUGGAUCAAUGCAAUGUGUGGCUUGUCCCAGCUGCAGAGCUGGGAAGCCCGGCACGCAAUGGAUGUCUGCGCCUUGCGCUCCUCAGGACGCUCGGCAUCGGGAUGUGCCAAGGUCACUGUGACCUUCCUCCGUCCUCUCCACCUGCCUCGGAGCUGUGUGUCAGCUGGAAUAUAUAGGAUAUCUGCAGGCUGGGGCAGGUUGGGGCUACAGUUUCCAGAAAAAGAGGAAUGCCUGGGAGUGCAGGGAAGAGCAGGAGCAGCCCUUGGGCCCUGGUUCYGCAGCAGCUCCCGCUCCCCUUGCCAUCCAGGCCCUGGGAUGCUGCUCCUCUGCAUUGCUCCAUUUCUCACAGGGYCGCACAGCCCCAGCCUCUCCUGUUAUCCCUGCUGAGCUGUUAUUUAUUAUCCCAAGGUUUUGCAGGAAUCUGGUUGCUAAGUGAAUCCCACCCCCACC
Long non-coding RNA from Nothoprocta perdicaria, 761 nucleotides. RefSeq lists it as uncharacterized. NCBI's taxonomy places the organism in Eukaryota, Metazoa, Chordata, Aves, Tinamiformes, Tinamidae. The record is from RefSeq and is a predicted model, not a curated record. The transcript is spliced from 3 exons.